CAACUUUAUUUUGAUUCACAGUCCAGUUUAAAUAUUCACACUUGGUUCGCUCGACAUACCGUUGCUCUACACUACUAGCGGGAGCAUUUGCCAUCACGAAGAUCACCGGAUACCGAGACGUAACCGGCAGCACCUGCUACAUACCAGAGAGCACUAUGUGGAAGCGAGUGACGACGACUGGAGUACGCCCGGUCCAGACAAGAAUGGCACGGAGCUUUCUGUCCAGACAGAGUCGACGCCGUGCAACGAGGCGACGUCACAGAUCCAGGAAACUCCAAACGGCGAUGCAGCACCUACAGCCAACGGAAACCUGGCCAUUGCUACGACAACGCAGCCCUUAGCACCGUCACGCCAACAGCAACCUUCAGGCGGUGGCGGGUCAGGGGCACCAAGCCAGGAAGUCUACUCGCACGGUGAAGCCUCCAGAGCAUCUCCAUUAUGACUCCGACUUCAAUCAAGUGGCAUGAACUUGUACUCAGUCUUUUGUUACCCGUGAAGAGAUGUAUCGGGCUUAUGUACAACGCCUCGCAUGACAAGGCACUAGUCAUGCGCAGUGCUUCCGGCGCUAUCUGAUAAAUACCGCCGACGUCCAUUAAACUAUGUUCUUGUUGCCGU
This is a long non-coding RNA of Ixodes scapularis (black-legged tick), 615 nucleotides long. RefSeq lists it as uncharacterized. NCBI's taxonomy places the organism in Eukaryota, Metazoa, Arthropoda, Arachnida, Ixodida, Ixodidae. The transcript is spliced from 2 exons. The record is from RefSeq and is a predicted model, not a curated record.